GAUAAGAAACAGGUUUGCCCACAGAGUAUUUCCCUAUUCAGCUUAUUUUUUUAAGUGUAAGCUGAUGUUUUGGGGCCACAUGGAGACUAUGAACUAAAAGAAGUUAGCAUGGAAGCCACCCUGGAGGCCCUUUUUGGUCAUGUGGUGACAUCCUUGAACCCCAUUCCCUUCAUUUUUCUUGAUGACCCUACAUUGCCACCUGGCAGUGUCCUUUCAUUUUGAGCUUGGUUUCCCUUAAAGGCAAAACCCCAGUCCCAGCUGGAGAGGAAGAGGGUGAGCUGGGAGAAUACCGGCAAAAGCUCCUCAUGUUCUUGGAGAUUUCCAGCUGCUAUGAUCCAGGCCGGCUCAUCUGUGAUUUUCCCUUUGAUGGCCUCUUAGAAGAACGAGCUCUUCUGUUGGGGCGCAUGGGGAAACAUGAGCAAGCUCUUUUCAUUUAUGUCCACAUCUUGAAGGAUACAAGGAUGGCUGAGGAGUAAGUUUGCCCCAACAUCCCACCUCCUAAGCAGUCUAAAAGCAGGCCCCGCAGAGAGAUGAGAG
This 537-nucleotide small RNA is filed under the name Pongo abelii (Sumatran orangutan). Its description in RNAcentral is "retained intron". Lineage: Eukaryota; Metazoa; Chordata; Mammalia; Primates; Hominidae. The record is from RNAcentral.